Molecule: ribosomal RNA, 1446 nt
Filed under: metagenome
Description: bacterial SSU rRNA
Rfam family: Bacterial small subunit ribosomal RNA
Source: RNAcentral
AGAAAGUUUCCUUCGGGAAACGAGUAAAGCGGCGAACGGGUGCGUAACACGUGGGCAACCUGCCUUCAGGUUGGGGAUAAGCCUUCGAAAGAGGGUCUAAUACCGAAUAAUAUCAUUUCAUGGCAUCUUGAGAUAAUCAAAGGUGGCUUCGGCUACCGCCAGAAGAUGGGCCCGCGUUCCAUUAGCUUGUUGGUGAGGUAAAGGCUCACCAAGGCUGCGAUGGAUAGCCGACCUGAGAGGGUGAUCGGCCACACUGGGACUGAGAUACGGCCCAGACUCCUACGGGAGGCAGCAGUAGGGAAUUUUGCGCAAUGCCCGAAAGGGUGACGCAGCAACGCCGCGUGGGGGAUGAAGCUUCUUGGAGCGUAAACCCCUGUCAGUUGGGACGAAUUGUUUCAGCUCUAACAUAGUUGAGAUUUGACGGUACCUUCAGAGGAAGCUCCGGCCAACUCCGUGCCAGCAGCCGCGGUAACACGGGGGGAGCAAGCGUUGUUCGGAAUCACUGGGCGUAAAGGGUACGCAGGCGGGAAGACAGGUCAGAUGUGAAACCCCAAGGCUUAACCUUGGGCCUGCAUCUGAAACCAUCUUUCUUGAGUAUCGGAGAGGAAAGCGGAACUCCUGGUGUAGCGGUGAAAUGCGUAGAUAUCAGGAGGAACACCGGUGGCGAAGGCGGCUUUCUGGCCGAAUACUGACGCUCAUGUACGAAGGCCGGGGGAGCAAACAGGAUUAGAUACCCUGGUAGUCCCGGCGGUAAACGAUGGGUACUAGGUGAUGGGGGAGUCGACCCCCUCAGUGCCGAAGCUAACGCAUUAAGUACCCCGCCUGGGGAGUACGACCGCAAGGUUGAAACUCAAAGGAAUUGACGGGGGCCCGCACAAGCAGUGGAGCAUGUGGUUUAAUUCGACGCAACGCGAAGAACCUUACCUGGGCUUGAAAUGUGCAGGAAAACCUCAGAGAUGAGGUCCCUCCGCAAGGAGUCUGUACACAGGUGCUGCAUGGCUGUCGUCAGCUCGUGCCGUGAGGUGUUGGGUUAAGUCCCGCAACGAGCGCAACCCUUGCCCUUAGUUGCCAGCGAUUCGGUCGGGAACUCUAAGGGGACUGCCGGUGACAAGCCGGAGGAAGGUGGGGAUGACGUCAAGUCCUCAUGGCCCUACGUCCAGGGCUACACACGUGCUACAAUGGCCGGUACAGAGGGCUGCAAUACCGCGAGGUGGAGCCAAUCCUUAAAACCGGUCUAAGUUCGGAUCGGAGUCUGCAACUCGACUCCGUGAAGGUGGAAUUGCUAGUAAUCGCGAAUCAGCAGGUCGCGGUGAAUACGUUCCCGGGCCUUGUACACACCGCCCGUCAAGCCAUGGAAGCCGGGAGUACCCGAAGUCGCUUUGUUAACUUUCGAGAAACGAGCGCCUAAGGUAAAAUCGGUGACUGGGGCUAAGUCGUAACAAGGUA